RNAcentral lists this long non-coding RNA (1757 nucleotides) under Marmota monax (woodchuck). The record is from RNAcentral. Lineage: Eukaryota; Metazoa; Chordata; Mammalia; Rodentia; Sciuridae.
CUUGUGUUCCUUGACUUGGCCCCAGUGGGAUUCUCAGUCUCCCCACUCUUUACCAUAAGAAAUAGAAGUGCCAGCCUGAAGGGCCCUGAACUCAAAUGACAGCUCCUGAAGCAGCUACUCCCUGUGGAUAACUGUCACACAGGUAUCAUUCAUGUCAAGGCAAAUUCUGGCAUCUCCUAACUACCCCUUUAAAUUUCUAGUUUAUAUUAUUGCCCAUGUAGGACCAGUCCAGUCCAAACCUAUGGUUAAGGACCAUAUCUCUCAGAGCAUCUACUCCAAAGUAGAUCAUCUUGGGAACACUCUGAGUGCUCUGGGGAUACUGAAGACAGAUCCAUCCAGCAUGAUCCCAUGAUCAUAGGUCAUCCCAUGAUCAUAAGUCAUCCCAUGAUCAUAGGUCACGGUUCCAUAAUUAAAAAUCACAACCCAGGGCCACUGGAGAAACCUAGCCAAUAAGUCCCAAGAAGUGACAUGGCUGGGGAGGCAGACCUGGGGGUUUACUGAGGGCUUCUGCUGGUCUAUCUGGGGCUAAUCAUCCAGGGUGGAGUCCUGCUAUCACCAUCUGUCAUGGGUCAGGUGAGGGACCUUAUACAUAUGUCCAGAAGGUGGGCCUAGUAGCCCCCUCGUGUUUAAGCCCUUAUAUGGCUGGGUGUAUUGUGGCUUUGCUGUGAGUUUCUCAAGCCUGAGAUAUGACUUGCCCAUGAAUUAUCUCCAUAUUUGAGGCUGGGCCAGUUGGUCAUGGCCAGGCCUGUGUGAAGUUUUCCACCUUAGCUCCCCUACCCCCAUUAUGAUCCCCUACCCAGGUCACCUGCCCAGAUCUUGAGAACUUGAGCAGUUUUGCCACAACCCUAGCUGAGAAUUGUCUCAGCUCCCAGCAACUUAGGCCUCAUUAACAACAUGGGUCCUCUCAGGUCUAAUAUAUCCUCCCCCAGAAUGCCUCACCCUAGCAGUGUCCUUAUAUUCUAUCUAUCACCACCCCCCCAACCUCUUGGGAUCUAUAUGAGUUAUAUAUUCAAUCCCCCUACUCCAGAUCUCAGCCUGUAAACCACGUCCUCUUUAAAAGACUCCAGACACAGCCCAAACAGACUGUCACCAGAGACCCUACCCCCCUCAGCAACCUAUGGCUGCUAGCAGAUCCUGUAGAUACCCAGAGAGUCCCAGACUUCCACAGAUCUCCUAGGAUCUGCCCUCACCUACAGUUCCAUGCCACAGACCCUUGGAGGCCUCAGACUACAGAUAUGGAUGGGCCAUGAGGGAGCUUUCCUUCUCUAACCUUUUGGCCUCUCUCAUGAAUUCUAGACCCUUCUCCAGCUUCACCACCUACUCCUAAACCACUUUCCUUCUACCUCUCUAUUCCUUCUAAGUCUCUAGCUUCUCCAAGGUAGGGGGUAACAAACACCUACCUUAUGGAUUUAUUGUGAGGAUGACAUUAAUAAUCUGAGAAGUACUUAGUAGAGUGCCUGACACACCUCAAGCCCUGCCUAUGGCAGCUAGUUGUUGAUUACAUGAUUUCUCUGGGUACCUUUCCUCCACCACCACCUCCCGCUGGCUCACCAGGUCCAAGUCUGAGCUCAUCCCUCCUUUACUCCACCCAGCUCUAAGGCUUCCUGCCUCUAGCCAAUACCCACAGCCAUCCAAGAUCCCUCCUUCUCCCUCAAUUCUGUCCAGCCAGCCUCCAAUUCCUGCCACUUGAUUCUCUUCUAUAUCCUGGAUAGUUCUCAACUUGAUUUUUAUUCUCCCUGCCCCCUACUGCCGUUUCU